AAAAAUAUACACAAAAUAUAAGAACAAGGAAUUGAACGCAAGUUGUAUUAUUAUCUAAAUAAUAUGACCACCGCUUAGCUACAUUACAACAAUAUAUUAAAAACAGAAUUAGUGAUAUAUAUUAGUUAAUAUUAUAUUUAUAUUGAUCUCAUCUAUCAAAUUCGAUACCCUAAAAAGUCGGAGGCCUGCGCGGUAGCAUUCUUCGCACCCUCAAAGGGCCGGGCCCUGAUAGCUAUGCAGUUCCAUACAUUUCAAACCUUUCCACACAAACAAUUCC
Molecule: long non-coding RNA, 277 nt
Filed under: Lathyrus oleraceus (garden pea)
Lineage: Eukaryota; Viridiplantae; Streptophyta; Magnoliopsida; Fabales; Fabaceae
Description: Pisum sativum (pea) long non-coding RNA (PSAT_LNC030783)
Source: RNAcentral